AACAAGCAAUUCAAGAAUGCCAAAUUCGAAUUUAAAACAAAAUAAAUUUUCAAAUUCCUUGUGCUAAGUUUCAUAAGUGUCUAACUAAGCAUAAGUAAUUUAGCCACUCAUAGCAAGUAAAACAAAACCAAAAUCAAUUGUAAACAACAUGAAUUACAAAUUGAAUCUUGGAAAGAAAAAAAAACUUCCUCAAACCGUCGAGCUUCCCUUCUCUCAAUUAGCUGAAAUUUUGC
Molecule: long non-coding RNA, 233 nt
Filed under: Gossypium raimondii (Peruvian cotton)
Lineage: Eukaryota; Viridiplantae; Streptophyta; Magnoliopsida; Malvales; Malvaceae
Description: long non-coding RNA (GRAI_LNC011181)
Source: RNAcentral